GUCCCUGUUGGCGCAGCGGAGAGAGAGCCGUGCACUGGGAGCGUGGGUUCGAGUCCCGUCAAGGGACA
Merluccius polli (Benguela hake) is the source of this 68-nucleotide non-coding RNA. The record is from the annotation of a GenBank genome assembly. Lineage: Eukaryota; Metazoa; Chordata; Actinopteri; Gadiformes; Merlucciidae.